Xiphophorus maculatus (southern platyfish) is the source of this 374-nucleotide long non-coding RNA. RefSeq lists it as uncharacterized. Lineage: Eukaryota; Metazoa; Chordata; Actinopteri; Cyprinodontiformes; Poeciliidae. The transcript is spliced from 2 exons. The record is from RefSeq and is a predicted model, not a curated record.
AUCUCAUCGCUAAGUUUGAGUCCAGCCACCGUAGAGAAAAUACUUUUACUCAUCGACUGGGAGCUCAUUCUUCUGGCCACGAUCCAUACCUGAAGAAUAUGUUAGACUUGGAACCUACAUGGACCAGUGAAAUGAGAACUUAACUUUUUGGCUCAGUUGUGAUCAAGAAGCCAAGAUAGUUGAACUACUUCAAUUGGCAGAGUCCAACCUGAAGAAGCAUCUCUUGAAACAGAAGCUGCAGCUCUUGUAGAGGAUGAAGAUGAGGAGCAGACCUAUAAUAAGGAGGAAGGCUAGGACGUCCAGGCUGUGGUACUGGUACCAGGUGAGUUCGUGGGCCUGGACCCUCAGGUGUUUGGCUCCUUUGUUUCUCAUGG